Molecule: long non-coding RNA, 3795 nt
Filed under: Portunus trituberculatus (swimming crab)
Lineage: Eukaryota; Metazoa; Arthropoda; Malacostraca; Decapoda; Portunidae
Description: uncharacterized LOC123513571
Source: RNAcentral
GCGAGUUAUGUGUGGCGGCGAGUAAAGUCUGCCACACUUACGAGCAGUACUUGUUAUGCUUCAGUUUGCCAGAAAUCAACUUGCAAAUUGAGUAUAGCCGUAGCGCGAUGUGCUUCCCUGGACGGGCUUCCAAUGAUCCUCCACCUUGCCCCGUCCCACCGCCCGCUGCCAUGGCCUGCGCUACGUACUGUACUCACUAAUGCCACGCAUUACUGAGUGUAAUUCGCUGCAUGGAAUCGUGGACGCCUCACAGCAGCAGCCCAGGGCACUGGCGGCGUGCUGCUGCAGCGUGUGACGCUGGUUUGUUGCACAAUGGUUCAGAUCAGCGAGGCCACCACCUGCUCAGCCUGAAAUCCGCGGCCUCUUCACCAGCCGCUAGGCCAGGACUGCCCUCCUCCUCCACCACACGUCCAUAGACUUUAUGCAGCGGGUGCUAAGGGAGGCACUUCCACGUUGCUACGUCACAACUGCUCGCCCGGCCACAGAUGCUGCCUAGUGCCUACAGCUCUGACGACGGCGAACAGCACACCUCGCUACUCCACCGGCUGACUGGUGCCUGCUUUGUGUAUUUGUAAAUAUGUAUGUAGGCUAUGUAUUUAUGAAUAUAUUUAUGUAUGUAUGCAGUGUACUUAUACACAAUAAACCUCUGAUAAUUCUAAUAAGUUAUGACAAAUUGUGCAUUGUUUCUUGAAUUAUUGUACCCUCAUGUUUGUGUGUUUAUUAAUUGCACUGAUGCCACGUGGGGCUUGGCAUUGUAUUGUCUUCUGCACCAUACUGUCUUGAGCUGCGUAACAAUCUUAUCACGGAACGAAUGAUAUCAUGCCAUUGAUGUCAUCACGUGAAUGUCAUGACCAAAUAGUACUCAAUGUUACUGACUGUCACAAACAUCUUCACCGUACCAAAAAGAUACACACUGUUUCUCUUCGGCGGGUAGGCGACAAUCACUGACAUUUUCUUUACUGACAAUAACAAAAAUUGAUUGAUCAUUUGCUAAUUGUUUCCGGUAAGUCUUUGACUGCGUGCAUUACACACACACACAAAAAAAAAAUCAUUAAAUGUCGCCCGGCACGACCUGAAUACUUUUAACGAGGCGUGAAGGAAGGAGAUGGGUGAGGGAGGCCCAUCCAGGUCCUCCGUCAAUUUCUCGCAAAUUAAGCAAAACGCAGCAUAUGUGUAUAGAAUAUUUUCGACUUUGGAAUUAAUUGAAUUAUCAAAUCCCGAAGUGUGUACAUCUUAAUUCAAGGGACACCCUGUGUCUGUUUGAGUACGGCUCGCCACAAUUAGUAUGUGAAUAGAUUUAUUAAGUUGACGAUGUCGAGAUAAUUGCAUGAAACAUAUGUUUCAUGCAAUUAUCUACGAUUAGAUAUAAACGGCACGAUCUUUAAAAUAUACGUGCUAUUAUACAAGAGAGAGAGAUCAGCAGCCCCGUAUUCUCUUACUUGUCACCACCGCAGCACCAAUGAAAUAAUGCAUGCCUGUGGGACACGUAAUGCACUGAUACCUUGCAACCACUAAAAUUAAACUAUAACUUACUCACUUCGCCAUAUUAACUGCUUUAAAAUCACUUUCAUUCACAUUUCAUGGUGUCGGUUUUUUACAUUCAGCAACGCAACAAAAACCAUGUGCAUUAUAGAUCACAGGUGUAUGGCGUGAUUAGGCGUCGUGGUGAAGGUCUCUCUCUCUCUCUCCAAUAGUACAUGCAGUUAACUUAAAAUCUAAAAGUGGAUAAGAAACUACUACUUCUAGAAAAUGUAAAUAUAUUUCAUUUAAAUAAUCUUUAUGUACAUAUGAGAUUAACAACAAUACUGGAAAAGAAUAAACCUCCCUGGGCUUGAAGCUUCUCCAAGGGUAUUGAAGAAUCCUGUCUGUAUACUGCCCAACAGUCCACCAUUUUCAUAUUACAUUCAAUUGCCAAUUGUUUCUACAACACAUGCAAUUCAACUGAACUGUACAAGUCGUUAAAUAUGAGAAUGUAGCAACUAAAUUAAACUGCAUGUUUUUUUUUUUUUUUUUCUCUCUCUCUCUAAUUACUGAAGCACCAUUCUAUUUUCAAUGCAUUCCAAAGUUUUGAUUUGCAGCUUAAUAAUGAUUCUGUACAUAAAUGGCACUGUGUUACAUAAUAUUUCUAAUGGUUUGAAGUGUGCUGAGGUGAAGACUGUGGACAGUAUACACACACUAUGUUUCCACUGGCCUGCAUAGUGGUGGUAGUAGUAGUAGUGGUGGUGGUGGUGGAUGCUGUUGUUGGUGGUGGUGGUGGUAGUGUUCAGGCUGCUCACAGGUGAUACAGAGCUGCUGGCAGGCCAGUCUUCACAGAGCAGUUUUUUAUAACCCAAGUGUUCCCAAUUAGAGAUACUAUUGCAUUGGAAUACAUGUGAUAUGUCUUCUUCUAUGACUAUACAUAAGAUAACAAGAAAAAAACAUAUCACAAAGAAAAAUUGGAUGCAUUAGUUACAAUGUCACUAAUAUUACCUAUUGAUUUUUUUUUUUUUUUUUCAUCAGUUGAUAUCAGACAGUAGUGCAUACUAUUACUUUCUCUUGAUUUCUAUGUCUGGCUCUUUGAUGUUACAGCCAUUAUUGUCUACACCUGUAGUGACAGUGCACUAGGACAAACACUUUACAGAGGUUCAAAUGGUUAACUACCACUUGUCUAGACUGCUAGGGAAGGAGGGAGAACUCAAAAGAAACAUCACACCUCCAAGGCUAGAGGAAUGACUAAAGAUUACAAUAACCCUUCAGAAACUUUUCUUCUUACAAACAAUUAAUAUAAUUUCUUUCUAAAUGAGAAACUUUCACUUAUCUGAAGUUCAAUGACAUAUAAUGGUGUUUUCAUGUGGCAUGAGCUGUUGAGAAGUACCAAUUGAACUGCAGCAGUUAUAACUCACGACAAAAUCAAUGAACUUACACUACAUUUAGAAGACGACUCAUACUAUUGUCAUACAUCAAUACAGGUGCUUCUGACAAGGUAAAUUGGGAAGCAUUCCACUAUAUAAAGAUAUCAGUUACUUAACAUACUGUAUAUCAUAUCCUUGCAUUAUAUCCAAGACAGAGUUGAAACUCUCAACCCAAAAAUAAGAGUGCAAAUUGGCCAAGUAUACUGGACUCACUGGUUGACAAGACCAUCAAGCAUAAUGCAGAAAAGCAUACCAGUUCUUGCAAUAAAGGUAAAUUAAGACAUGACAAUAAUUCCCUUUGACCUGAAUACUUCAAUUCAUAGUACCAUCAAACUAAAUGCAAAAGCGAAAUAUUUCAUAACACUAUAAUGCUGUGCUAAACCCAACACCAGCAACCAUGAGUGCAACAUAAAUACAGCUAGAAUUGUUCAACAUGAGCCUUGGAUCAGUGUACCAUAAGAGGUUUAACCAUUUCUUAGUAUUACUUGACAUAAACAUCUAAAAACAAGUGUUGACAUGUUAAUUAUGACAUCAAGCAAGUCAACGUAUCACAACUGGUGAGGCAACAAGUUCUCCAGCAUACUACAAGUGGGUGAAAAUGCUGGAGACCACAGAAAAUUUUGCAAAAACAGCAGGUCUCGCUUGCAAUUAUCACAAUUUCAGCACCUCCUGGAAACAUUCUAAGGCUGUUGCCCCUGCAACCAGCUCUAUAAAAAUAUGUACAUUAAAAUAUGUACAUUAUGGAAACUAUGAAUCUGUGGUUUUCAUUAGGUAGACAGGAUCACAAACUGUUAAAACUUGUUACCUGUUUCUGUUCUCUCUCUCUCUCUCUCUCUCUCUCUCUCUCUCUCUCUCUCUCUCUCUCACACACACACACACACACACACACACACACACACACACA